GGAAUGUGGCUAAUCACUUUUUAUUUGUAGUUUAUCUGAAUGUCCUUGCACUUUUCAGGAGUUAAGGCAGAUGUGGAGGCACAACGGGUGACACCAGACACACACCAAGCACAUUAUGUUCGGACAUUCAAUCAUGACAUGAUCCAUGUGGAUGCUGUCCAUUGAGGAAAGAGUUUGUUCAGCGGUUUCUGGAUAGAAUUAAGUCCAAAGAUGGGAAAAAGUGCACAUCCAGACAAGGAGCAAGCAAAAAGACAAGGAACUUGGUGCAGAGAAAAGCUGUGGCGAUUAACCCCCAUGUGAACAGCUUCAUGCAGUCCCUGAUUGAGUUCGAAUGGACGACUUCAAAGUAAAGGCCACUGUGGUCUGUCUGCCACAGUUUAAUGCAUUUAUUUUUAGUGUUAAAUGAAAUUCAAGUAGAAUAUUUAAAACUAUGGGCCAGUG
Molecule: long non-coding RNA, 441 nt
Organism: Paramisgurnus dabryanus
Lineage: Eukaryota; Metazoa; Chordata; Actinopteri; Cypriniformes; Cobitidae
Source: RefSeq, a predicted model, not a curated record